UCUGGAACGGAUAAGCGCUGAAAGCAUCUAAGCGCGAAGCCGACCUCAAGAUGAGUUCUCCCACCCCGCAAGGGGGUAAGACCCCAGCGAGAAUAGCUGGUAGAUAGGCCGGGGGUGUAAGUGCAGUAAUGCAUUCAGCCGACCGGUACUAAUAGGUCGAGGGCUUGACCAG
Molecule: ribosomal RNA, 172 nt
Filed under: Syntrophomonadaceae bacterium
Lineage: Bacteria; Bacillati; Bacillota; Clostridia; Eubacteriales; Syntrophomonadaceae
Description: partial 23S ribosomal RNA
Rfam family: Bacterial large subunit ribosomal RNA
Source: RNAcentral